UCGCUUGAGUUUUUAUGAGACCGGCGCACGGGUGAGUAACGCGUAUGCAACCUACCUUAUACAGGGGAAUAGCCCGAAGAAAUUCGGAUUAAUGCUCCAUGGUUUAUCGAUAUGGCAUCGUAUUGAUAAUAAAGAUUUAUCGGUAUAAGAUGGGCAUGCGUAUCAUUAGCUAGUUGGUGUGGUAACGGCAUACCAAGGCGACGAUGAUUAGGGGUCCUGAGAGGGAGAUCCCCCACACUGGUACUGAGACACGGACCAGACUCCUACGGGAGGCAGCAGUGAGGAAUAUUGGUCAAUGGAGGCAACUCUGAACCAGCCAUGCCGCGUGCAGGAUGACGGUCCUAUGGAUUGUAAACUGCUUUUGUACAGGAAGAAACCUCCCUACGAGUAGGGACUUGACGGUACUGUAAGAAUAAGGAUCGGCUAACUCCGUGCCAGCAGCCGCGGUAAUACGGAGGAUCCGAGCGUUAUCCGGAAUUAUUGGGUUUAAAGGGUUCGUAGGCGGCUUUGUAAGUCAGUGGUGAAAUUUCCUAGCUUAACUAGGACACUGCCAUUGAUACU
This 561-nucleotide ribosomal RNA is filed under the name Myroides odoratimimus. RNAcentral describes it as "bacterial SSU rRNA". It matches the Rfam family "Bacterial small subunit ribosomal RNA", at positions 77 to 634 of the family's 1533-position model. The record is from RNAcentral. Lineage: Bacteria; Pseudomonadati; Bacteroidota; Flavobacteriia; Flavobacteriales; Flavobacteriaceae.